This 592-nucleotide ribosomal RNA is filed under the name Bigelowiella natans. RNAcentral's name for it is "partial Bacterial large subunit ribosomal RNA". It matches the Rfam family "Bacterial large subunit ribosomal RNA", at positions 1948 to 2538 of the family's 2925-position model. Lineage: Eukaryota; Cercozoa; Chlorarachniophyceae. The record is from RNAcentral.
GUCCUAAGGUAGCGAAAUUCCUUGCGGGGUAAGUUCCCGCCUGCACGAAAGGCGUAACGAUCUGGGCACUGUCUUGGAGAGAAUCUCGGUGAAAUAAACAUAUCUGUGAAGAUGCGGAUUAUUUAUACCUGGACAGAAAGACCCUAUGAAGCUUGACUGUAAUUUGUGAUUGGAUCUGGGCUUCUCUUGCGCAGUCUAAGUGGGAGGCAUUGAUGAAUUCUUUUCGGGGAAUUCUGAGCCGAUAUUGAGAGACCACUCUGGAAAAGUUAAGAUUCUAAAGAUAUUCCUUGAAUCAGGAUAUCUGACAGUCUCAGGUGGACAGUUUCACUGGGGCGGUGACCUCCUAAAGAGUAACGGAGGUGUACAAAGGUUCCUUCAAGCUGGACGGAAAUCAGCUGAAGAGUGCAAAGGCAAAAGGGAGCUUGACUGCAAGACUUACAAGUCAAGCAGAGACGAAAGUCGGUCUUAGUGAUCCGACGGUUCCGAGUGGAAGGGCCGUCGCUCAACGGAUAAAAGUUACUCUAGGGAUAACAGGCUGAUCUUCCCCAAGAGUUCAUAUCGACGGGAAGGUUUGGCACCUCGAUGUCGGCUC